Long non-coding RNA from Melospiza melodia melodia, 1143 nucleotides. RefSeq lists it as uncharacterized. The transcript has 3 exons. The record is from RefSeq and is a predicted model, not a curated record. Lineage: Eukaryota; Metazoa; Chordata; Aves; Passeriformes; Passerellidae.
GGGGCUGGACCAGGAACAGCCGGGCUCGGCAGCAUCGCGGGGCCGGCUGGGAAGGGACAAUCCCCCGGAGAGGCAGUAUUCAGAGUGAUGGCUCAGAUGCUCAGCAGCUUUGGAACAGUGAGACAGCUGGCUGGAAACACAGCUUCCACAAAGAAUUACCCAAACAGGGUGUUGCAAGGGAGAAAAGCAGUGAGGCCUGGCACCAACAAUAAGAGGUUGCAUAAGGUUUUGACAAGGAGCACAUGGCCUGUGGCAGCUCAGAAGUAAUCAAGAUAUCAGCAAAACUGGCAGCAGCAUUUCAGCCACGUGAGAAACAAGAGCACCCAUGGGAAUGACUGAAGAAAUGGAGUCAUUAAAACAAGCCACUUUUCCCAGGAACAGCUGGUAUUAUUUUAGAAAACAAAACUUGCUGAAGGGAACUGGAAUCUUGCCAGAUCUGGUACUUAAAAAGAAAGGCAAAAAGAAGAUAAUAAAGGAAAAAAAAUUAGAGCAUUUGAAGAUUAGCAACUGUGCAAAAGGAGAAAACCUCCUUUGCAGCAUCCUGAGGCAAGCACCAAAAAAAUGGGCCAAUAUUAGCAUAUGCAUUCAGCACACUUCUGGCAGCAAGGACGUGUUUGGAAAGAUUCAUGUGCAAUACCUGUCUUUUGUACUAAGGAAAAUACAAGACUAGAAAAAAGCAGAAAGGGUAACAGAGGACACCACUAAGGCGAGAUGGAGCAGGCCAGCUGGACUGUUAUGAUUUAAUUAAGGAGAGUUUGACUCAGUGGGAUUCACACAUGGGAGAUUAUUCCUAUCAAAUCUGACAGAAUUUUUCACAGUGGUAACAUAUCACAGAGGGAAGCUGUGGACAUAAAACCAAUUUGACACUGUACUGCACACUGUUAAAUUAGAAAGUUAAUGAUUAGGGUAGAUACAGCAUGAAAAGCUUGCAAAAGGAAAGAGCUGACUUUGAAAUCUAAUACAUGAACUAAAAAGAUACAGUGUAGACCACAUUUUAAUUCAUUCAGCUUCAUCAAAUUACAUGUAUCGGCCUACUCCUAAUAUCUUUUGGUCAACCAACCAUAGAGGCAUAAUACUCCAUUUCCAGCAAAACAUGAAUUCCCAUCUUCUACCUAAAAAUGCAUAAAUUGCAUAUUAUCUAAA